RNAcentral lists this unclassified non-coding RNA (541 nucleotides) under Aspergillus sp. P28. RNAcentral describes it as "sequence contains ITS1, 5.8S rRNA gene, ITS2". The stretch from base 175 to 328 matches the Rfam family "5.8S ribosomal RNA". The record is from RNAcentral. Lineage: Eukaryota; Fungi; Ascomycota; Eurotiomycetes; Eurotiales; Aspergillaceae.
CCUGCGGAAGGAUCAUUACCGAGUGCGGGCUGCCUCCGGGCGCCCAACCUCCCACCCUUGACUACCUAACACUGUUGCUUCGGCGGGGAGCCCUCUCGGGGGCGAGCCGCCGGGGACUACUGAACUUCAUGCCUGAGAGUGAUGCAGUCUGAGUCUGAAUAUAAAAUCAGUCAAAACUUUCAACAAUGGAUCUCUUGGUUCCGGCAUCGAUGAAGAACGCAGCGAACUGCGAUAAGUAAUGUGAAUUGCAGAAUUCAGUGAAUCAUCGAGUCUUUGAACGCACAUUGCGCCCCCUGGCAUUCCGGGGGGCAUGCCUGUCCGAGCGUCAUUGCUGCCCAUCAAGCCCGGCUUGUGUGUUGGGUCGUCGUCCCCCCCGGGGGACGGGCCCGAAAGGCAGCGGCGGCACCGUGUCCGGUCCUCGAGCGUAUGGGGCUUUGUCACCCGCUCGAUUAGGGCCGGCCGGGCGCCAGCCGACGUCUCCAACCAUUUUUUUCAGGUUGACCUCGGAUCAGGUAGGGAUACCCGCUGAACUUAAGCAUAU